RNAcentral lists this ribosomal RNA (1041 nucleotides) under Heterodera carotae. Its description in RNAcentral is "eukaryotic LSU rRNA". The stretch from base 631 to 784 matches the Rfam family "5.8S ribosomal RNA". Lineage: Eukaryota; Metazoa; Nematoda; Chromadorea; Rhabditida; Heteroderidae. The record is from RNAcentral.
GUUUCCGUAGGUGAACCUGCUGCUGGAUCAUUACCCAAGUGAUUCCAAUUCACCACCUAUCUGUGCUGUUCAUGUUGGCUUGUGCGGGCACCACCAUAUGCCUUCGCUUGCAGUAGCGGACUUAGACCGUACGAAUUUGGUCUGACGCACUGGCUGACGUUAAUGGAUGGCCGCCCUGUGGGCAACUCUCGUUGGGGUGUUUACGCCUCUACGGCUGGAGCUGGUAUACCAGUCACAGCUUACACGCAUAAAAGCCUGAGGUUGGCUGCGUCUAGCUUGUGUGCUGGUGGUGAGUGGUCCGCUUGCGGUCCUCCUCGCUGCACCAGCCUAGUGUGCGGACACGCCCGCAGGGCACACUAACGGCUGUGCUGGCGUCUGAGCGUUGUUGAGUGGUUGUUGUGCCAAGCGUGUGCAUGCUGACUUUGGAAGUGGUUCUUCCAUAGUCUUACGUACCGUAACUAGCGGUGUGUGUGCGCUUGUGUGCUACGUCCGUGGCCACGAUGAGACACCGUGUUAGGGCCCGUGCUCGCUGCAGGCACGUGGCUUAAGACUUAAUGAGUGCACGGAUUGCACCGCCAGCAUUUAUUAUCUAUUUAUUUUUUUACAUUCAUUGAAUGAACAAGUAUAUUCUAGCCUUAUCGGUGGAUCACUCGGCUCGUGGAUCGAUGAAGAACGCAGCCAACUGCGAUAAUUAGUGUGAACUGCAGAAACCUUGAACACCGAACUUUCGAAUGCACAUUGCGCCAUUGGAGUUAUAUCCAUUGGCACGCCUGGUUCAGGGUCGUAACCAUAAAACGCACAGCUUAUGCGUGUUUAACUCGUUGGAUCAUGCGGACACGCGUGUUCUUUCGGUGUGACUUAUGUGCUUCGCCGGUGGUUUGGGUGUGCUGGCGUGAUCUGUAUGUUUAAUCGCGCUUUACGUGCCGUAAUUUAGGCACACCCAUUCCCUUGCGUUGUGCAGAGUGCUUGGCUGGUAGGCACUCAGUGCUUUAACUUUUCGACCUGAACUCAGACGUGAACACCCGCUGAACUUAAGCAUAU